AGAAGACUAGUUAAAACAUAACAUUAGCAUGUCAAACUAAAAUUACUUCACAGUGUCUUCUA
This 62-nucleotide transfer RNA is filed under the name Thereuonema tuberculata. RNAcentral's name for it is "tRNA-Asp". The record is from RNAcentral. Lineage: Eukaryota; Metazoa; Arthropoda; Chilopoda; Scutigeromorpha; Scutigeridae.